AUGUACAGCCAUACCACCCUGAGAAUGCCUGAUCUCGUCUGAUCUCGGAAGCUAAGCAGGGUCAGGCCCGGUCAGUACUUGGAUGGGAGACCAGCUGGGAAUACCGGGUGCUGUGGGCU
Molecule: ribosomal RNA, 119 nt
Filed under: Columba livia (rock pigeon)
Lineage: Eukaryota; Metazoa; Chordata; Aves; Columbiformes; Columbidae
Source: RNAcentral